This 434-nucleotide ribosomal RNA is filed under the name uncultured bacterium. RNAcentral's name for it is "partial 16S ribosomal RNA". It matches the Rfam family "Bacterial small subunit ribosomal RNA", at positions 28 to 507 of the family's 1533-position model. The record is from RNAcentral.
AGCGAACGCUGGCGGCAGGCCUAACACAUGCAAGUCGAACGAACCUUUCGGGGUUAGUGGCGGUCGGGUGAGUAACACGUGGGAACGUGCCUUUAGGUUCGGAAUAACUCAGGGAAACUUGUGCUAAUACCGCUUGUGCCCUUCGGGGGAAAGAUUUGCCGCCUUUUGAGCGGCCCGCGACCGAUUAGCUGGUUGGUUGUGGUAAUGGCUCACCACGGCUAGGUUCAGUAGCUGGUCUGGGAGGAGGAUAAGCCAGAUUGGCGCUAAGACACGGCCCAAACUCGGACGGGGGGGAGCAGUGGGGAAUCUUGCGGGAUGGGCGAAAGCCCGACGCAGCCAGGCCGGGGGAAUGAGGCAGGUCUUAGGAAUGUAAAAUUCUUUGAGCGGGAGCGAUAAUGACGGUACCCGGAGAAGAAGCCCCGGCUAACUUCGUG